RNAcentral lists this ribosomal RNA (762 nucleotides) under marine metagenome. Its description in RNAcentral is "bacterial SSU rRNA". It matches the Rfam family "Bacterial small subunit ribosomal RNA", at positions 671 to 1433 of the family's 1533-position model. The record is from RNAcentral.
CGGUGUAGCGGUGAAAUGCGUAGAUAUCGGGAAGAACACCAGUGGCGAAGGCGCUCUGCUGGGCCAUCACUGACGCUCAUGGACGAAAGCCAGGGGAGCGAAAGGGAUUAGAUACCCCUGUAGUCCUGGCCGUAAACGAUGAACACUAGGUGUCGGGGGAAUCGACCCCCUCGGUGUCGUAGCCAACGCGUUAAGUGUUCCGCCUGGGGAGUACGCACGCAAGUGUGAAACUCAAAGGAAUUGACGGGGGCCCGCACAAGCGGUGGAGUAUGUGGUUUAAUUCGAUGCAACGCGAAGAACCUUACCAGGGUUUGACAUCCUGCGAAUCUCUUGGAAACAGGAGAGUGCCUUCGGGAACGCAGUGACAGGUGGUGCAUGGCUGUCGUCAGCUCGUGUCGUGAGAUGUUGGGUUAAGUCCCGCAACGAGCGCAACCCACGUCUUUAGUUGCCAGCAUUUAGUUGGGCACUCUAGAGAGACUGCCGGUGAUAAACCGGAGGAAGGUGUGGAUGACGUCAAGUCAUCAUGCCCCUUACAUCCUGGGCUACACACGUACUACAAUGCUACGGACAAAGGGCAGCAAGUUCGCGAGGACAAGCAAAUCCCAUAAACCGUGGCUCAGUUCAGAUCGUAGGCUGCAACUCGCCUACGUGAAGGCGGAAUCGCUAGUAAUCGCAGGUCAGCAUACUGCGGUGAAUACGUUCCCGGGCCUUGUACACACCGCCCGUCACACCAUGGAAGUUGGCCACGCCCGAAGCCGUUAC